UGGGGAAUCUUGCACAAUGGACGAAAGUCUGAUGCAGCAACGCCGCGUGGGGGAUGAAGCUUCUCGGAGUGUAAACCCCUUUCGACCCGGAAGAAUGCCCGCAAGGGUUUGACGGUACGGGUAUAAGAAGCCCCGGCUAACUACGUGCCAGCAGCCGCGGUAAUACGUAGGGGGCCAGCGUUGCUCGGAAUUACUGGGCGUAAAGGGUCCGUAGGCGGUGUGGCAAGUCGGGAGUGAAAUCUCUGGGCUUAACCCAGAGGCUGCUUCCGAAACUGCCAUGCUAGAGUGUGAGAGAGGCGAGUGGAAUUACGGGUGUAGCGGUGAAAUGCGUAGAUAUCCGUAGGAACAUCCGAGGCGAAGGCGGCUCGCUGGAUCACAACUGACGCUGAGGGACGAAAGCUAGGGGAGCAAACAGGAUUAGAUACCCUGGUAGUCCUAGCCCUAAACCAUCAGGACUUGGGGUGUGCCCUGUACGGGGCACGUCCCGUAGCUAACGCGUUAAGUCCUGCGCCUGGGGAGUACGGUCGCAAGGCUG
Molecule: ribosomal RNA, 535 nt
Filed under: uncultured bacterium
Lineage: Bacteria
Description: bacterial SSU rRNA
Rfam family: Bacterial small subunit ribosomal RNA
Source: RNAcentral